This is a long non-coding RNA of Ictalurus punctatus (channel catfish), 584 nucleotides long. Lineage: Eukaryota; Metazoa; Chordata; Actinopteri; Siluriformes; Ictaluridae. The record is from Ensembl.
GGGACAUAUAGAAAACAUUUUCUACUGUAUAUUGGGAGGGAAAGAUUGGUAUUACCUCAACAUUGGCGGGGACACGCCCCCCCCAAAAGAAUACGUGGUUACGCCCAUGGUUGUAGGAGACACAUUUUUCCUCAGGAGUCACAACACAGCAGACACGGGGUUUUCUUUCUUCAAUUUGAACUUUUCUCAGGAGUUUAAGAUGUGUCGUUAUCUCUAGCAUCCCUGCUGGUGCCUCUACAAAUUACACCUGCAACAUGAGGGGUCGUCAUGUGAACAUCAUCAUUCCCAAUGUUAUCCAGGCUCUCACGCUCUGUGAAGUGGAAGUCUAUGGGGUUCCAAGUUACACUUUUAUAUCCAGUUCACAAUUUCAUAUACAUUUGAAGUCAAAUUAAGUUUUACAACAGCCGCUAAAUAUCAAUACUGUUAAUUUUUUUUAGUGCCUGUUACUAAGAGGGCAUUUCUGAGAUUGAAGUUUAACAGCAGUGAGGAUCUUAUGAACCCUUCUGUGAGGGACAAAAUUCUUCAAAAGAUGAUAUCUGCCAAUGUCCAGCCUUCAGUGCGUCAGAUCUGUUGGACUAAGGAAC